UCUCGCCUCGCAUCACCUGCGGGAGAGGAGGCAGUCACACCAAUUUCACCGCGCGUCGAGGGAGUAGGCGGUCGGAGGAGAAGGCGGCGGUUUUGAUCUGUGAUCUGCCUCGACCUGGGAGGUGGCGGCGGUUUCGAUUUGUGAUCUGCCACGGCGUGGGAGGCGGCAGAUCGAUCCGGUCGGAUGCGCCCGCGCUGCUGCGCUGUACCUCCUCCCAUUCGAGCAGAUCGGCUGAUGAGGCAGAUUGGCCGCAGGUGGCGGAUCCGUGGAUAUGAGGUGUUGGAAAUGCGGUUCAGAGUGACGAGAUGAGGAAGCUCAUGUGGCGCUGCUAUCGGAAGGAACAUCUACUCCGCUGGAAUAACACCAACAUAGGAAGAGGCUCUCCAAUAUGAUAUUGAAUCAACUGAUACGAAUACUGUGGCUGAAGCACUUGCAAGGUCCAAGAAGGGUUAGUAAUUAUAUCGCUGCGUGCAUCUUUCCUCACCCUAAUUAGUUCCUUACCAGGAGAUGAGUCCAUGCAUGCAGAGUAUGUCUGGUUCCCAAAAACUCUUGUCACCAGCCACUAUCUACGUAUACGAGUGGUCUAUAUGAUACCAAAAUCUUAGCAUCAAUGUAUCACUGCAAUUUUCUGUGUCAUCUGAAUUUAGCUGCAGGAAUUGUUGUAUCUUUGCCUUUCUUCUUCAUAUUCUACUAGAUCGGUGCUACUAACUGUUUGAGUAUUUCUCAAUUAGACUGAUUGUGUUGUUGUAGUUCUCUGAUUUUGGAAAUUGGAAGACAAAAACAACUCUUCACCCUGAACUUUUUUUAAUUGUACCAUUGCUGUUGGAGAUUUUGGUGCCCGGAAAUAAAGAUAAUAGGAUAUGAUGUACAUACAACAACAUCCAUCCUCACUAACAGUGGUGUUACUGGUUGUGGCUGCACUGCAAUUGCAAAUUCUGUCUACGAGUGGACAGUAAAUCAACAACAAAGCAUGAUAAAGGCAAAUGAUAUGUUUCUUCCUGGCCAGAUGGCAUUUAUUUUACAAUAUGGAGAAUAGAGUUAACAGUGAUAUUCCAACAUUUCUCUUCACAGGAGCAAAGUUGUUUGCCCUGUCCCAGAGGCAAUGAUCAUUGUCAGCGUGGAUGGCUCUGUCUGUACUUGACACGAUUGCCAACAUCAUGUCAUACCUUACACUUGGAUCAUCAGGGAAGGUCUUCAAGAAGAAGAAAUGGAAGAGGUAUACAAAAGGUUUGCUCCUCCUCUCCUCUUUCGCUAGAUUUUCCCAAUAUGAUCAUUACACACAAUGAAGAUAUUUACAGCUACAGGAAGGAUUCAAAGAUGAUUAGUACCUGCUUUUCAUGGUUAUUCAAGUCGAGUGCUGAGUGGAUUCUAUGCUAAUCUUAAUCAAAUAGCCAGGACUAAUUAGAGCGGUCCCUACCAUGUAAAUUGUAGUUCAAGGGAUACUUAGUCACUACUAUGUAAAUUGUAGUUGAACAGAUACUCCAUUUGUAAAUGUGCGCACAUGUGCAUCACUCCAGAAUCACUGUUAAUUUGCUAUACAUUCUUAGCCACUGACAGAAGUGCGCUGUCCCUGCAAGAAAGAAAUCACGUUUGCACUGUA
This is a long non-coding RNA of Triticum dicoccoides, 1600 nucleotides long. RefSeq lists it as uncharacterized. The record is from RefSeq and is a predicted model, not a curated record. The transcript is spliced from 8 exons. NCBI's taxonomy places the organism in Eukaryota, Viridiplantae, Streptophyta, Magnoliopsida, Poales, Poaceae.